RNAcentral lists this ribosomal RNA (477 nucleotides) under uncultured Clostridia bacterium. RNAcentral describes it as "bacterial SSU rRNA". It matches the Rfam family "Bacterial small subunit ribosomal RNA", at positions 1 to 507 of the family's 1533-position model. The record is from RNAcentral. Lineage: Bacteria; Bacillati; Bacillota; Clostridia.
UAGAGUUUCGAUCCUGGCUCAGGACGAACGCUGCGGCAUGCCUAACACAUGCAAGUCGAACGGGGAUAGCAAUAUCCUAGUGGCGAACGGGUGAGUAACGCGUGAGUAACCUGCCUCAUACAACGGGAUACCUGAGGGAAACUUCAGUUAAUACGGUAUAAGACCACACUGCCGCAUGGCAGAGGGGUAAAAGGAGCAAUCCGGUAUGAGAUGGACUCGCGUCGCAUUAGCUAGUUGGUGAGGUAACGGCCCACCAAGGCGACGAUGCGUAGCCGACCUGAGAGGGUGAUCGGCCACAUUGGGACUGAGAUACGGCCCAGACUCCUACGGGAGGCAGCAGUGGGGAAUAUUGGGCAAUGGAGGAAACUCUGACCCAGCAAUGCCGCGUGAAUGAAGAAGGUCUUCGGAUUGUAAAGUUCUUUAGUCAGGGAAGAAAAAAUGACGGUACCUGAAGAAUAAGCUCCGGCUAACUACGUG